Long non-coding RNA from Pezoporus flaviventris, 457 nucleotides. RefSeq lists it as uncharacterized. The transcript has 3 exons. NCBI's taxonomy places the organism in Eukaryota, Metazoa, Chordata, Aves, Psittaciformes, Psittacidae. The record is from RefSeq and is a predicted model, not a curated record.
CCCCACCCAGGAACCCCAGGUGUGUGUACAAUUCCUGUGAGUGCCUCCAUCUGGAAAUGUGAGACCAUGCUUCUUCUCUAUAUCUCAGGAUGGCAGCUGUAAGGUUACUGCUUCUGACUGAUCACAGCAGCUACAUGGAUUAAACAGUAAAAUCACCAAAUCAGACUACUUGAAUAAAAGCUGAAUUUCCAUCCCGUGAAGCCAGAAUGCAUCCUGCAAAGCUCUUCACUGACAAUGCAGCUCAGUCAGGUUAUAUAAUUGGCACCCUCAUAAGCUUUUAAUCUUUGGCAGAGUGGUACUCGAACAGAGUGAAGUUCUCUCCUACCCUUGAAAAUAUCAAUGAAACUCAGAGAGUGCUUACUGCUGAAUGUCCCAUGAUCACAAGAAGCCAAGGGCACACUGCCUUAGCACCAACGAGAAAAGAGCUUUUGGAAAGUCAAUCUCCUUCCUCCUAAAA